GACGAACGCUGGCGGCGUGCUUAACACAUGCAAGUCGAACGGAAAGGCCCUGCUUUUGUGGGGUGCUCGAGUGGCGAACGGGUGUGUAACACGUGAGUAACCUGCCCUUGACUUUGGGAUAACUUCAGGAAACUGGGGCUAAUACCGGAUAGGAGCUCCUGCUGCAUGGUGGGGGUUGGAAAGUUUCGGCGGUUGGGGAUGGACUCGCGGCUUAUCAGCUUGUUGGUGGGGUAGUGGCUUACCAAGGCUUUGACGGGUAGCCGGCCUGGGAGGGUGACCGGCCACAUUGGGACUGAGAUACGGCCCAGACUCCUACGGGAGGCAGCAGUGGGGAAUAUUGCACAAUGGGCGGAAGCCUGAUGCAGCAACGCCGCGUGCGGGAUGACGGCCUUCGGGUUGUAAACCGCUUUCGCCUGUGACGAAGCGUGAGUGACGGUAAUGGGUAAAGAAGCACCGGCUAACUACGUG
RNAcentral lists this ribosomal RNA (468 nucleotides) under uncultured bacterium. Its description in RNAcentral is "partial 16S ribosomal RNA". It matches the Rfam family "Bacterial small subunit ribosomal RNA", at positions 28 to 507 of the family's 1533-position model. The record is from RNAcentral.